RNAcentral lists this microRNA (21 nucleotides) under Brachypodium distachyon (stiff brome). Its description in RNAcentral is "bdi-miR9481b". The record is from miRBase by way of RNAcentral. Lineage: Eukaryota; Viridiplantae; Streptophyta; Magnoliopsida; Poales; Poaceae.
UCAGUCGGAUUUCUCACCUUC